AUCAUCAAGCGGCAACGCGAGGUUGACACGUCGCGGGUCCCGAAGAGAUUGAUAAAAUACCCAUCACCCGAUUUAUCCAAUGCAGCAGCAACACGGUACAUAGCAAUGUACGAGUACACGAGUCCCGCCGAUGAGCCAACCCAUCUGUUUUUGAACGGAAAACCGUACGAAGAUCCGGCGACGGAGACACCCAAAGAGGGGACCAGUGAGAUCUGGAACGUGAUCAAUCUGACGGAGGAUAAUCACCCGCUGCACAUCCACCUGGGGCUGUUCGUGGUGUUAGAACAGAGAAAGCUGGUGGACGUGGAAAAGUUCAAGGAGUGCAUGUUGAAGAUCAACAAUGCCGUCAAGUGCCAGAUAAGCAAGUAUGCACGUGGCAACAUAACAGCAGUGCCAGCUCACGAGCAGGGUUGGAAAAAUGUGUUCAAGAUGACGCCGGGGUACGUGACCAAAAUACUGGUGAGAUUUGCUUACAUACACUCCAACGCAUCGUAUCCGUUCGAUGCAUCCGCAGAGCCUGGUUACGUGUACCAUUGCCACGUAAGUAUCUUAUUCCGCUUUUCAAUCUGAAUUACUCCAAGCAUGAGAUCGUUUUGAUUACUUUCAAGAAGUAACACAACUUAUACAACCAGUUUGUUAGUUCUGGUAAAAUGGUGAAAAUUUAUUAAAAAAAUUCUUUAAGGUUGUACUUUUUUAUAAAGAAAAAAGAAGUUCUGUUUGAAUUUGAAUAGGCGUCAGGAAAUCAUGACUGCUGCCAUGCAGAUUCCAAAUAGAGCUUCAUCUUCACGGAUGCUCUGUAAUCUCAGAUUUGUCUUCUUGCGUGGGUCAAAUGCAGGCCACUUCACUACUUUCAAAGACGCUCCCUUCCAUAAGUCUCAUCCAUAUUUUCCUGAAUUAUUCCCUUGCCUGUGUUUUCAUCUAAAUUCACUACAAAACUACAAAGGCGAAAAAACAGAACAAGGAAAAGAAAAUUGCUACGAAUGAGACACUUCCUUCUGGGCACAAUCCAAAUGGGAAAAUCUUAUUUUUUUCCUGUAAAAAUGCAGAUUUUGGAUCAUGAAGACAAUGCGAUGAUGAGGCCCUUGAAGUUCAUAAAAUAAGAAGAUCCAUAGAGAUUAUUACAACAGCAACCUUCUUGUAAGCACAAUACAUCGCAUUUGGUUUCCUUCUUUAAUUGUAUCAAACUAAUAACUAAUCUAUUCCACUUCAUCAAUUCUUUACCCCUGCAGGCCCAUUGUUUUCCCAGUGACAAUAUCGAAUAAAGCAGAAGCCCAGUCGCGGAGAUGGGAUACUGUGUUGUACUGUAUCGAAUAACCGGAGAUGUCUCCUGUGGUAUGAUAGUUUAUAGAUUAUGUCCUACGCUUGUAAGUACCAUGCUCAUUAUAAUGUUGAUGUAAUGGUAUUACUACAACAGAGUAGGCAGCAAUGGUAUUACGAGUUACGACAGAGUAUGAUUAAUGUAUGAUUUUUAUAAAAAAAAUAUAUGUUGUUGUGAUAUAUAUUAAAAAAAUGUAACUUUAUGAAAUUUUACUCAUUCCACCCCUAAUAUAUCCAAUUAUUCUCCUAAGGGUAGAAUUAUGAGAGAUCCAAAAGUUUUACACCAUCUUUGCACUUGGAUCUCAUUUUUUAUUUUUUUUGUACCUUAAGCUCGUUUCAUUUAACAACUAAGUGUAUUUAAAUUAUAUUUAAUAUUUUAAUUAAUUAUAUGAUUAAUGUAUAAUUUUGAUAAAGUAUAUAUAUGUUGUUGUAAUAUAAAUAUUAAAAUAUGAAUUUAUGAAAUUUGUGUUCAUUUUGCUCCCAAAAUUUGAUAUUCCUUUUACAAUAUAUACAACUCUUAAAGGCAAAAUUAUAAUUGGGUCCAAAAUUUUGUACUAGGGUGCUAUUUCUUUAUAACUUUAAGUCUUAUUUCUUUAUAGUUUGAUAUGAUUUUUUCCUACUUUGAUUCUAUUAAUUUCUUCAUAAUAGUCUCAUCUCAUUGCUUGAAAAUAUAAUAAAGAAAAAUAAGUAAAAUAAAUUUUAAAAAACAUAUCAAAAUAAUCAAGUUUAUAUUUAUUUAUUUAUUUAUUUUUCUAUUUUCUUUUCUCUUUUAUUUUCCUUCAAAGUUUCUAGGAAGCAAACAUAGCAUUAGGGUUUUUUUAUUUUAUUUUUUUUAUUGUUGUUGUAGAAUUUUAGGCGAAUGCUAAAAAUUAUCCCAAGCUAUGAGGUUUGGAAUUAUGGGAUUGAAAAAUUAAACAAUUAAUUUUCCAAAGGAGAAAAUUAGAAUGUCAUUAGGAAGAAUAGGUAGGGGCAAAAUCGGGAGACUAUUCCAGGAAACUUUGAAGGCGCGUAGAGAAAGAGAGGCAGUUAUCCUCAUUCCUCAUUCGCAGGACCCAAUCUCAGCCCACAAUAUGGCACUUCGUCUCACGCCUCCCUUUCCAUCUUUCACCGGUCGAAAUCUGGUCAUCGGAAAAUCGCAGCCGCUGGUUAAACUAAAAAUCUCCUGCUCUUAUCAUUCCAACGAGGUCACUUCACUCGACACUCUUUAACUCCCACUUUUUCUUGGUUUCCGUUUACAAAUAAUGAAAAAAUUGGUGGUGUGAUUGUGAGAAGUAUUGGGCGCUGAUUUUUCCGGGGUGGUGAUAUAGUGCAAGAAGGAGUAGACGAGCGUGAUGAUAGUGCCGACAGGUGUAGGUACCACCAUCGGUGGAUUCGCCGGCGACGCUUAGCCAGUUGCUCGUGCACUCGCCUCCGUCGUUGAUUGCCUCAUUUCGCACCCUAACGUACGUCUCUCUCUCUUACCCUAACUCAAAAAGGGUGUUUUGGUCAUUUACCGUUAAUAGUUAGAUUCCAUCUCCACAGGUAUUACUGUUGUUCCCUUGCAUCUUGAGUUGCAUUGGGUUAUUUUUAAUAAAUAAGUUUAACUACGAAAUUAUGCUGCGUUUAUGUAUGAAUUAAUCAAGGAUUAACAGUUAUGAAGUACUGUGGCCCGGGGUUGAAUCUUAAUGGAUGAGGGCCGGCCCAAUAAUUGAAGGGGCCAAGAAAAUCGAGCCUGGACAAACGUAAUGAUCGGGCCCGUCCAAAUAAGUGGGCAAUAGGACGGGUUAGUCCUGUGCCCAUGGCUAUCGCCUACCGUGGGAUGGAAAAUGCGAAAACUUUCUGCUUGGACUUAUUUUUUAAAAGUCUAAAACAUAUACCUUAGCUAUGGUCUAUGGAGGACAGUGCAGCCUAUGCUUAAGCAUCUAUCUCUGCAACUUUAGGUGCUUAAUGCAGCAAUGCUUUGUUGGCCCGUGCCAAAUGUGCUAUAUGUUGUAGGUUAUGCUCUUGAUCGAUUUGCAGAAGGCUUAUGGGCAUUGCAGCUAGUUCACCAAAAUAGAGUAUGCUUCUAUAAGCUUGUCUCAUUUCUUGCAUGUAAUUAUGUCAUGUUUGCUGGCUGCUUAGUCUGUAAUCUUACAUUGGGCUUGUGAUGUCAAGCAGGUGGGGUUGGUUCUUGAUGCUGCAAUAGAGGGGGAGCUUCGACUUUGCCAUUUGCAAGUGGCUGAUGCGACAAGAGCUUCCCUUGGAUUGCCUGUUUUGGAAUAUAUUGUCACUGACACUCCUUUACUGGUAUGCGUCCCUAUCAGCUAGCAGAUUAAAGACUAAUGGAGCCAAAUAUCAACAUACUGCUAAUUGCCCAUAUCUUAAGUGGAGCUAAAGUAAAAGAUGCAUGUUCCAGACAGAUUACAUAACAUGUUUCAUGUGCUGCAGACCUUUCCCUUUGCAAGACAUGUUUUAUGUGCUGCAGGCCUUUCUCUUUGAUGACUAACUGCACUUCUUGUGAGAUGCUUAUUGAUGACAUGGGCAUGAUGCAUUAGACCAAGGGUCAUACACUUGGUGAUUGAUGAGUCAACAUUAUUUGUAUUGUCUAAUUAUGAUCUCUCUUCAUGAGAACUGAUGGACUUUUACAAAGUUUGUAGCAAUGAAAACAUUCCCCCUGCAAUUCAGUAACUUUAGUAUCAAAGUUUGUUUAUUAAUGGAUUAUCUCACAUGUCAUGUCAUGGUUGGAUAGCGAAUUGCUGCUCAACGGUUGUUCUCAUUUUCUCUGUUCUUGGCCGAAUGUUGUCAUUGCAUUUAAGUAGUUUGAUUUUCAUGAAUGCAGAGUUCCACUACCAAGGUAAUCGUGAGCUGUUCAUAUCUAUAACCUGUUUUAUAGGUGGAGAAAUGGGUUGAUCCAAAGAGCGGGCAAUCAACAGGGAGAGUUAAGCAUCCUGAUUCACUACCGAGAGCUGUGCAGACUUUAGUUAACCGAACAAAGGUAAAUGCUGUUGCAGUGGUGGGAUGCUUUCUGAUGAAGAUGUUGAAGACAUGGAUGAUUAUCGACAAGGGAUGGUAUGGAAAUUAUAUUCUUGGGUACCAUGCUGCAUUUCUGUCACUAUUUUGGACAUAAAGAACAAAUAUCUCCUCCAUGACAGCUGUUGAAGUUAAGGAUAUUAGUAUCUAUAAUUGCUUAAUUAACAUCCAAAGUAAUGUUCUAGUUAUUUAAAAUUCCCAAAUAUUCAAACAAAUUCUAGAGCAAGAGCUAGUGCUUCUCCUCCCAUUUGCUUUCUAUUUUCCCACUCAAAUUCAACAAUAAAUACUUCCAAUUUAUUGCUUGUGUUGCGGCUAACGCUUGUCAUCAUAAUAGGAUUGCCAACUUCCUCUUGUUCCCCCUUUUUCCUUAUGGUGUCUUACAUAAAUAAAAAUUUUUGAAUUCACUCCCAAACUUUGAAUUUUCAUUUUUCAUUUCUGAGUUGUUCUGAGUCCUACAAAUUGUGUCCACAAUAGUGCAUUGUCAUGGCUAUUGAAUAUGCAGGUACCAGACAAGAAUUGAGGCAUCUGUUAUUUACUCUAAUGCCUUUUUCAGUUGACAUAAAGUGUUGUAUAAACAUGAUGCAUAUAUACGGUGCUUAUAUUGUGAUAUGACUUUAGCUACUAAAACUCUUUUUCACUUCUUCUCAAAGCGAGAAGAAGAAAUUGGCAUCUAGAGUUGAAAGAUGCCGAUUAUUUAAGACUGAAUCAAUGUUGGGUUUUUGUGCUUCAAAGUUUGUAUCUCAUUCCUUCUCAUUCUCUUUAACCCGCAGGGUAUAGAUGAUUUGGCAGGAGUGGAGGCAGUUAUAAGCCAUCUGGUGGUGAAGGAAUUCCAGAUCCCUUGUGCACAUGCACCUGCACUAUCUCCCUUUCCUUUGAGCCUAUCACUGUGUCCAAAAUCAGCUGCCGAGGAGGUGAGUAAUAUCUUUUGAGGGCACAAAGAACUUAUAGCUACAUGAGAAGUGGUUUUUGUGGUUAUAGAAAGGGACAGUAGGUAUCUUUGUGUGAGUUUGCAUGUGUGCACACCAGUGUUCAUUUGUAUAAACUGAUGGGUGGGUAGGUAGGUGCAUGUUUUCACCUAUAGGGUGGAUGUUGUUGUUUGUCUUUGCAUUAGGACUAAAUUCCAUUGAUUAUCAUUUGGACACUUCAGGCCAAUGGUGUCACUAUGGAAAGUUGAAUAUUAUAUUCCUUACUGGGAACCUGAUAGAAAGGUUUAAUAUGGUGAUGGGGUUCCAUAAAGAUAAUGUGGCUUAUUUCAUUAGGAAAACACUAUUAAUUAUAAAGUCACUAAGCUAAUAGUUCAAAAAGGUCGUCACUUCAUGAAGGAGGAGAUGAGAGAUAAACUAGUAUAUUAACAUUAUUAACUAUAAAGAAAAAAUAAUAAUAAUACAACAUUUGAUGCCUAUUGAUAUAAAAUUUGUGGCAUUCACUACCACUAGGAUCAAGAAUAUUCACCAAGCUUAUGAUGUUCACUUUAUUUAUGAUAUGAUAUAGUUGGCCACGUUGAUGUUAUUAAUAAUUGUCCAUUUAUUAUAUCUGACCACUUAGGAGAGAUUAUAAUAAUGUCUUCGCCACACGCCCCACUAGAUUAUAUCAUUAGGUUUAGUGGUUGACACUUAGGAGAUCCACAAACAUCUCUACACUUACCUUCCACUGCAUCUGACCAUGAAAGCAUCGACAUUUAUAAUUUGGGCACCAUACUCAAAAAGCUCUUCAUUAAUACUAAUAGAAACAGUCCUAAAAGUAUACAAAGGAAUAUAUGUGACAGGAGAAAGGGAGCCAGAGAGACCAGCCCACCAUGCCUAGACUCGACUCUUUAUACUGGGUAGGUGAUGCCAUUUAGCAGUAAGGGGAACCAUAUCUUUCUACCCUUGAAGCCCUAUCCACAGUAGAUGGGUCCAUCUACUCAAAAAAAGUUUCAAUUGUACAAUAUGGCCGUAUGGGAUUCCUGCUGUCAAAUCCAAUUUUGAUUUCUUUGAAGUACUUCAUGAAAUGAUGAAAGGAAACAGAAAAAUGGGGGGGAAACACAAGAAAAGCCAGUGCCAAGUCUCUCCUUAAAAGGAAAGAGGUCUGAAAUUUCAAGGGGCCAUUAGAUACAACUAAGUGGCAAACAGCAACUUAGAUUGGGUGUCUUUGCCUAACCCAAUACUCGAUACUCAAUAGCCCUGCCAUAUCUGCUGCUUCCAUUGAGUGACUUUUUCAACCUUCAAUCCAUUAGAAUGACUAUUUCCUACUCUUAAUCUUACAAAUUUUUUAUUGAUGAUGAAAAAAUCAAACUAGGGUCCCAAUCAGUGAGUAGUGGGAAGACUUUUCAUACUGAUGUGAUUGAUCCCUUUACCAUACAUUUUUCUUUGUCUUGGAAUCUUGUGGACGGUAGAUGGCCCGAAAGCUAAUCGCAGGGAAGAAAAAAUGAUAAGAAUUUGGGAAGAAUCCAAAUUUAUGGUCCCAUUUGUACAUAAUUUCUAACCAUGCAUUAAAGGCCAAUGACCCUUCUCUUCAUUGACUCCAUGCCAAAAUACAAGGAAUAUAAACAUCCACCUCAUUGUAGCUACACAAGAAGUAAAAAUUCUAGACAUGAAAAUGAUUUUAUGGCUUUUGUAUUUGACCAAUUAAUUUAGUUUAUAAAUAGACAAAUGUUAGGGGAUAUUUUUCAUCAUGCAAAUUAACAAAAAAAAAAAAAAUCUCAUUAUAUAUUUAUAGUCCGACAAUAAUUUUAGAAAACGUUUUUAAUUUUUUUAAAAAAAGUUUACAUGUUUAGCAAAUUUAAAAAAAACACUUUCAAAAAUCUAAAAAAUUACUUAUAAUAUUUUUUAAAUAAAUAAUUUAUAGGUGUUUCUCUUAAAAAAUACUUUUAAAAGAAAACAUAUCUAUUAAAAACAAUUCAAAUAAAAAUAUUAUUGAAGGCACCUUUACUCGUCGUUCAAACAAAAUAGAAAAUGAUCAACCCAUUGAAAAUUUUAAACUUAUUUGAAAUUUAACAAAAAAAAAACAAUAAUUAAGAAGAGUCCUUGAAGAUAAUUCUCAAUUACUUUCAAAAAUAAAUAAUAUUGUUUAGGAAUUUAUAGUGUUUUCAAUUUAUUUUUGUGAAGGUAUCAUGUAUGACCUAAAACUUCUUCAAAUAUUCAUUUUAUUUUUAAUUAUUUCUUAAAAAUAUUUGAAAAGAUAAAAAAAAUAGAUUGAGAAGAUUUUAACUUUUUGACUAGAUUUUUAUUUUCAAAAAUACUAUAGAACUGUUUUUUAAAAAUGUUCUUAAUUUUUUUUCGAAAAAAAAAGGAACUAUUUUCUAAAACCUUCCUGUUAGAUUCAUAGUCUUAUUUUUUAUUUUAUGGAUGGAAAGUUAAAGAACAAAAGUGGCUGUCGGUAGACUCGGUACGUCCGGAUUAUUUUUCGAAUAAUACCUUUUAAUAAUAUUUUUUAAAAAUAAUAUAAAAAUUAGAAAUCCCCACUUUAGGGUAGGUGGGUGGAUGUCCUUGUCACGCUCCUAUUAUUCUCCCAGACCAGCUUUUCACUUAGACCAGCAUCACACAAUACAUAAAGCUUACACAUCCCUGAUACGUACUCAUUCAGCAACCUACGCGAUACUCUCUGGCCCAUGGAUAUACUUAUUUCUUUCCUUUUUUCUACUCCCAAUGAGCUCACCAUCAUUUUAGGUUACUUUGACAAUUCUUCGGUCUUCAUCUUAUCUAAAGAAGAUAGAAAAGAAGAAGAAAAAAAAAAUGAUUGUGGAAAACUAUGAAUAAUUGACCCGAUAUUGUUGAUAUUGUUGUUCCGAGUUCAACUGGAAUCAGAUUUGUCUAAAUUAACAGAGGUUAGACAACCUUCCUUCAUACGUUGUGUCUCUCCGAGUUUUUGUCUAACAAUGUCAAGAUUGGAUGAACUUUCCACUUACACAAAAGAAUGUUCGGAUAGGUGGUCCAGACACACCCUUUCGAAGUUUAAAUCAAACAGAGAUAGUUUGAAUUACUCAAAGAAGAUAGUGAAUAUGAUAGCCUAUGCGUACCUUGUUUAUGCUUUCGAAGGACUUUUAUAAUGCCUAAGAGAUCAUCACUAUAGUGUUGACUAAGCAAUUUGACCUUUUCUGUAAUAAUGAUUGUUUUGCAGGUGGUAGGACAAUCAUCAUAGUUUUGGACAGCUGACAAGUGCCGUUAGUUGAUGUGUCAUGACAUUUGAUAGUGUAGUCGCCUGUCCCCUCAACCUGUUGAUGGCUUGGGGUUACGUGUAGCAUUUAAUUGACAUGGACUUGAAUGGGAUGUCCUGGAUGGAUUGCAUGCUAGUGAUGGUCGAUCGAGGAGUCCGAGUAGGAAAAGGGACACGUGGAGGGGAGUUUCUCAUAACAGGACAAGUGGAGGAGAGCCCUCACAGAUAUGACUGGGUCUGAAAGAUUGACCAUGGAAGAGAACCACACAUCUUUAUUCACAUGGAAAAAAAAUGAUUAAUUAGGUCACAUCAUGUUUACUCCUUGAUUUUAUUACUUUUGAUAUGUUUAAUUUUAUUGUUUUGUUUCUUGAUUUUGUUAUUUAUCUUGAUUCGUUUGAUUUAAAUGUUUUUGAAAAAAGAGAAAAAAAACAUCAAAUUUCAAUGGAUACUUCUUUGGUAUCUUAAACAUUUUCAAGUAGGAACACAUAAAAAUGCAUCAUAGAAAAAAUGAAAUAAAAAAAAAAUUCAUGUAGGCAUGAUAUUUGAUUUUUUUUUUUAAAAAAAUUAUUAUGGGACGUAAUUUUUUAACCAUUUGCUCGUCCUUAUUUUCAUUGGGGCAUUUUUUAUGGGUGACAAAAUUUAAUACAAUUCAUCAACAUAAUUCAAGUUCAUCACACUUUUUACGGAUUUGUAUAAAAUAUGUAUACUCAAAUUUGAAUCAAAUUUAUAUCAAUCUGUAUAACUCAUUUAAUAAAUAGGUAAUUUUUUUUGUUAACUAUAUAUAUAUAUAUAUGUAAACUUAUUUUAAUUUUUUUAAAUAAAUAGAUGAGUCAUAAAUAUAUUAGUUUAAGACAUUAAUUAUAUAGACUUUUAUAAAACUUAACUCAAUUUAAUUAUUAAAUAAAAGAUUUUGAUUAUUAAAUAGGUAAAAUGAAUUACACUACGUGUUACCCGUUAUUAAUCAAGUUGAAUUUGGAUUGACCAAUGAAUUUAAAACGACAAAAAUACAGCUUAUCUACUUGCCCCUAUUUUUCCCUAUUAUUUUUUAAUACUAUUUUAGAAGGCAUUGCCAUAUUUGAACUCCUUUUAAAGCUAAUUAUCCCCUUGUUAUUAUUUUAUUUUCUUUUCAAAACAUUAGAAAUCCAUUAAUAUUAAUGAAGAUGAAGGACUUGUUCAAUAACUAUUUUCUAAAAUAUUUUUUUUGUUAUUUAGAAUGAUAAAACAAGAAAACAUUUUUCAAAAUUAUUUUUUGUUUUCUAUUAUUAAGAAUAUAAAAUAUGGUAUUUUUAGAAAACAUUUUUUAAUUGUUUUAACUUAUUUUUUAUUGAUUGUUGUAAAAAUAAUUAUACAAAUAUAAAAUAAAACAUUAAAUAUAAAAAUUAUUUUUAAAAUAUAUUAAAAAUAUUUUAAAUUUAUAAAUAUAUUUUUAUUUUAUAAAAUAUCAUAGAAUAAUUUUUAAAAUCUAUUAUUAAAAAUUGUUUUUCAAAAAUGUUUUCAGAGAGGAGACCAAGUCUUGUUUUUACGUUUUACUUUCAUUGUCUACUUUAGGUUUUAACAUAAUUCUUGCAUUUACUUUCAUUGCCUACUUUAGGUUUUAACAUAAUGCUUGCAUUAUUUAGUCUUUUUUUAUUUAUUUAUUUUGGAAACUUCGAAGCCCUCCAAUCUCCACGAGGUCCACCUCCUUUCUUUCUCGAGAAUCCCCCUUGGAUGAUAUAAAAUCUAACGUCAAGCACAAGUUCAUAUCCACACCCAUCUCUCGUACUCUUUCCCUCUCCCAACCCCCCUGCCUCGCUCCUCCCCCUCCCUCUCUCUCUCUGUGCAUGUAACCAAAUUGAACAUGAUGGUUAUGGAGAAAAUUCUGCUGUUUCAUCUCCUUUCUUUAGCUUUGUUGGGAGCUGUUGUAGAGGCUACACGGUCAGAUGACAGACUGAUAAAGAUAUCACAGUUGAAAAUGUUUGUUGAUGAGCUUCCAGACAUGCCAAAAAUCCUCGGUUUCGACGUUGUCAAUGGCGUUCCAGUUUCCAAGUCCCUGCAGAUUGGCAUGUUUUCGAAGAAAUGGGUACGAUUUACUUUCCUUUUUUUUUCUUUUGUUUUGGGUUUUUUAUUGCUUUCUAAUUUUUUUAAGUGUUAAAACUAUAUCCGGUUCCAUUCUGUGAGGCUAGGGGUAUCUUGCUCUUCCCGAUGUGCCUUUUUAACUUUAAUGGGUGGCCUUUUUACUUACAGAAAGAGAGGGGAAAAGGAUACAGAAGGCCAUGUUAGUGGCUGCUUGUUUCUGCUUUACUCCAUUCCCUUAUGAGAUUCCAACCUGUUCUGGAAGCUACUAGAACAACUUAAUGAGGUUUUUUGCUUCUGGUGGCCAUCAUUUCAUACUCUAUUUGAGGUAGUUUUUCUUCUAGGGUUUUUUCUUUGGCUUCAUUUGAAUUUGGGAGGGGGAAAAAAUGGAAACCUAAAAUUGGCCGACCUUUUAUUUCUGCCGACUGUUUGUAGAAGUAGACUGCAGACACUCGUUACACUGUUGAACCAAAAUAUCAUAGUCUUACUAGCUUCUGCCCACUGUCUAACCACAAAAAUUAUUUUCACCUUCAAAAAUCAAAUUAUGUCCAUUAAAGUCUGAGAUGGCAUCUUUCAGCCUUAUCCCUGUGGUUCUUCAUUUUCUGAGUCAAUGAAAAAAUGUGAGAGUAGAAAUCUUUGAUUCCUCCGGAUGUUGGAAAGUUUCAUUCUUGUUUGUAAAGUCCAAUAAUCACUCUUUUGAAAAGUUAAUAACACCUCACCUACAUUCUAGUCUUCUUAUUUAUUUAUUUUAUAUUUAUAGAGUUCUUAUUUUACCAUGUCCAAAUCUCUCGUGAUGUUAUGUAUUAUGCCAAAAGAAUUUCGUUUAGACUCAGAGAACAACACCUUCCUGAAGAGAUGACUGGGGUUUGAAAUAUUUCAAGGCAAAUUAUAUCUGACGUGGCAAUGUUUAACCUAGUGAACGGAUUUUUUCCUUGACUUCAAAUUUGUAAUCAAGAAAUGUUCCCGUUGGAGCAGCUAACUGUGUAGUGUGUCCUCUCGGUUCUUUGUCAUGAUUCAGAAAAGGAAGAAAAAAAAAAGAAAAAAAGGUCAUCUUACUCGACGGUUCUUAUCUGGUCUUGCUGUGCAGAAAUUCCACAGAGAUCUCCCGCCGACCCGUGUAUUUGCCUAUGGUACUUCCAAUAACACCGCAACGGUUCCUGGUCCAACCAUCGAGGCCCUCUACGGAGUUGACACUUACGUGACGUGGCGAAAUUACCUCCCAUCAAAACACAUCUUACCCUGGGACCCAACCAUCCCAACUGCCAUUCCCGCCACGAAGAAGGGCGUCCCAACGGUUGUUCAUCUCCACGGGGGCAUCGACGAACCCCAGAGCGAUGGAAACGCCAACUCAUGGUUCACCCGUGGCUUCAGAGAAAGAGGCCCCACCUGGACCCAAAAGAAGUACCACUACUACAACAUCCAGCAACCAGGCAAUAUGUGGUACCAUGAUCAUGCAAUGGGUUUGACUCGAGUCAACCUUCUGGUUGGCUUGAUUGGGGCCUACAUCAUCCGUCAUCCUGAUAUUGAGUCCCCACUCGGACUCCCUCAUGGAAAGGAGUUUGAUCGACCCUUGGUCGUAUUCGAUCGAAGCUUUCGCACCGAUGGUUCCAUCUACAUGAAUAGAACAGGAAACAAUCCCUCCAUUCAUCCACAAUGGCAGCCGGAGUAUUUUGGUGAUGCAAUCAUAGUCAACGGAAAAGCCUGGCCACGUUUGACAGUACGACGUCGUAAAUAUAGAUUCCGCAUCAUCAACGCAAGCAACGCUCGCUUCUUCGAGUUCUUCUUCACCAACGGUCUACGAUUCAUCCACGUCGGCUCCGACUCAUCUUAUAACAAACGUCCGGUCAUGAUAAAAAAAAUCCUCCUGGCCCCAUCAGAGAUUGUCGAUGUGAUUGUUGACUUUUCGGAGUCGAAAUCCGAUUCGGCUAUUCUAGCAAACGGUGCGGCUUAUCCCUACCCAAGUGGCGACCCAGUCAACAAGUUCAACGGUAACGUGAUGAAGUUCAUCAUCAAGCGGCAACGCGAGGUUGACACGUCGCGGGUCCCGAAGAGAUUGAUAAAAUACCCAUCACCCGAUUUAUCCAAUGCAGCAGCAACACGGUACAUAGCAAUGUACGAGUACACGAGCCCCACCGAUGAGCCAACCCAUCUGUUUUUGAACGGAAAACCGUACGAAGCACCGGCGACGGAGACACCCAAAGAGGGGACCAGUGAGAUCUGGAACGUGAUCAAUCUGACGGCGGAUAAUCACCCGCUGCACAUCCACCUGGGGCUGUUCGUGGUGUUAGAACAGAGAAAGCUGGUGGACGUGGAAAAGUUCAAGGAGUGCAUGUUGAAGAUCAACAAUGCCGUCAAGUGCCAGAUAAGCAAGUAUGCACGUGGCAACAUAACAGCAGUGCCAGCUCACGAGCAGGG
RNAcentral lists this long non-coding RNA (12906 nucleotides) under Vitis vinifera (wine grape). Its description in RNAcentral is "long non-coding RNA (VVIN_LNC000072)". The record is from RNAcentral. Lineage: Eukaryota; Viridiplantae; Streptophyta; Magnoliopsida; Vitales; Vitaceae.